Molecule: ribosomal RNA, 253 nt
Filed under: uncultured bacterium
Lineage: Bacteria
Description: partial 16S ribosomal RNA
Rfam family: Bacterial small subunit ribosomal RNA
Source: RNAcentral
GACGGAGGAUGCAAGUGUUAUCCGGAAUCACUGGGCGUAAAGCGUCUGUAGGUGGCUAAUUAAGUCAACUGUUAAAUCUUGAGGCUUAACUUCAAAAUCGCAGUCGAAACUGGUUGGCUAGAGUAUAGUAUAGGUAAAGGGAAUUUCCAGUGGAGCGGUGAAAUGCGUAGAUAUUGGAAAGAACACCGAUGGCGAAGGCACUUUACUGGGCUAUUACUAACACUCAGAGACGAAAGCUAGGGUAGCAAAUGGG